GUUGCGGUUAAAACGCUCGUAGUUGAGUCUUUGCUGAGAAGCGUGGGUCCAUCCUAGUGAUCGGAACCUAGGCCUCUGGCAUUUUCCUGGGGAGGACUGUCUGCGCUUCACUGCGUAGCGUCUGGUCCAGGUGGAUUACUUUGAGAAAACGAGAGUGUUCCAAGCAGGCUGUCCGCCAGAAUACAUUAGCAUGGAAUAAUAGCAUAGGACCUCAUUCCUCUUUGCUGUUGGUUGAUUGGAGUGAGGGAACGCAAAUAGGGAUAGUUGGGGGCAUUCGUAUUUAACUGUCAGAGGUGAAAUUCUCGGAUUUUUUAAGACGAACUAGUGCGAAAGCAUCUGCCCAGGAUGUUUUUCUUAAUCAAGAACGAAAGUUAGGGGAUCGAAGACGAUCAGAUACCGUCCUAGUCUUAACCAUAAACCAUGCCGACUAGAGAUUGGGACCGUCUCACAACGGGCGCUCCCAGCAGCUUGAGAGAA
Molecule: ribosomal RNA, 477 nt
Filed under: uncultured marine eukaryote
Lineage: Eukaryota
Description: SSU rRNA
Rfam family: Eukaryotic small subunit ribosomal RNA
Source: RNAcentral